GCUAUCCAAUGCUGCAACAGAACAAGUAAGACACAUGAAUAUUUUGGCCACCUCAUCGGCCUCUGUGCUGUGCUUUUCUGUAUUUUGUAGAAAGCACUGGAUGAAGAUUUAAGGCUCAACUGUAUUUAAGAAAUGCUACAUAAGUUGAUUUAUAUCCUGAAUAUUUUGUGUCUGACAGAAAGAUAAAAAAUU
Molecule: non-coding RNA, 192 nt
Organism: Tinamus guttatus (white-throated tinamou)
Lineage: Eukaryota; Metazoa; Chordata; Aves; Tinamiformes; Tinamidae
Source: RefSeq, a predicted model, not a curated record